CGACCUCAAAUCAGGUAGGACUACCCGCUGAACUUAAGCAUAUCGGUGAGCGGAAGAAAAGAAACCAACAGGGAUUGCCUUAGUAGCGGCGAGUGAAGCGGCAAAAGCUCAGAUUUGAAAUCUGGCACUUUCAGUGUCCGAGUUGUAAUUUGAAGAAGGUAUCUUUGGGUCUGGCUCUUGUCUAUGUUUCUUGGAACAGAACGUCACAGAGGGUGAGAAUCCCGUGCGAUGAGAUGUCCCAGACCUAUGUAAAGUUCCUUC
Molecule: ribosomal RNA, 261 nt
Filed under: Lodderomyces parapsilosis
Lineage: Eukaryota; Fungi; Ascomycota; Pichiomycetes; Serinales; Debaryomycetaceae
Description: Candida parapsilosis partial 28S ribosomal RNA
Rfam family: Eukaryotic large subunit ribosomal RNA
Source: RNAcentral